GAUGAUAUAGCUCAGUUGGUAGAGUGCUUGCCUCUCAUGCACAGGCCCUGGGUUCAAUCCCCAGCACCACCA
Molecule: transfer RNA, 72 nt
Filed under: Ictidomys tridecemlineatus (thirteen-lined ground squirrel)
Lineage: Eukaryota; Metazoa; Chordata; Mammalia; Rodentia; Sciuridae
Description: Spermophilus tridecemlineatus (thirteen-lined ground squirrel) tRNA
Rfam family: tRNA
About the family: Transfer RNA (tRNA) molecules are approximately 80 nucleotides in length. Their secondary structure includes four short double-helical elements and three loops (D, anti-codon, and T loops).
Source: Rfam by way of RNAcentral